This 1039-nucleotide long non-coding RNA is filed under the name Penaeus japonicus. RNAcentral describes it as "uncharacterized LOC122244295". Lineage: Eukaryota; Metazoa; Arthropoda; Malacostraca; Decapoda; Penaeidae. The record is from RNAcentral.
AAUUGAUAUAUGAAUAAUGAGAUAUAUGUCUAUGUAUCUGUGAAAAAAAAAUAAUGUAUUCAUUAGAUUAUCGAAAAAGCGAAAUCUGUACAGAUCGAAUGAACAUGUCCUAUCGCGCGAGACAAAGAAAACGAGCAACAUGUGGGCUGACGCAAGGGUGACUAAAAAUACGCAUGUUGUAUCAGGAAAAAAGUGACACCAUACGAAUCUUACGCCAUGUUAUGCAAAUUACACAUCGCUGUGCCUUUCGCUCUUGAAAAAAACAAUUAUUUCAUCAAAUUCUGAUGUAUUAUUGAUCUCAUUCCAUCUACGACAUAUAUUGCCCUCAUGAAAUAUGUAAACCAAACGAAUGGGUGUGGUUCUGGUGUUGAAAUUGCACUCGCAAAAGGCCUGUGAGCGACGAGUAGCGACACAUGGCACGCUGAGCACACAUCGGUUUAUAAGCGACCAGUUCUUGUCCCUCGGCCAGUUACAGCUCACUUUCGGUUCGGAUCGGAAUGAUCCUUACUCCCUGUGACGAGAUGUUCCAGUGGCGACAGGCGCGAGGGACACUUGCCUGUGCCUGCCCCUGGUAAGAAGCCACGGCUCUGUAUCAGGGGCAGGUACCCACCCCCCCUCUCCCGGACUGAUAUGUGGCUACUCGACCCCCGCACGGAUCUCGGACUGCCCCGAGAACUAACUCUUGCCAGAACCUCCUCUCCGAUUUGUUGAUGCUGAAUCCCUCCCCGGAAGGGUCAACUCACCACAUUUACAUCACAAUUUGGUUCAUCAAAUUACUCACCGCUACGAAAAUGUUGCUUGCAUCAAGCAUCCAUUGAAUUGCAGCUAUUUGGUGCCUUCUCUUAGUCAGCAUGGUUUUGGACCUGUGGUAGUUGCUGUUCUUUACGUCACUAUCAUGUUAUGUUCCUUUAUAUCAUGAAGAUGUUCCUCUUUGUACUGAGCACUAUGUUGCAUUUUAGAUUGCAAUAUGGCGUGCUGUUGUGCAAAAGACUAUGGAAAUUUGUUACUAUUUCGAUUGAAUAAAUGUUAUUUGGAUUAA